AAAUGCGAUAAGUAAUGUGAAUUGCAGAAUUCCGUGAAUCAUCGAGUCUUUGAACGCACAUUGCGCCCCCUGGCAUUCCGGGGGGCAUGCCUGUCCGAGCGUCAUUGCUGCCCUUCAAGCCCGGCUUGUGUGUUGGGUCGUCGUCCCCUCCGGGGGACGGGCCCGAAAGGCAGCGGCGGCACCGCGUCCGGUCCUCGAGCGUAUGGGGCUUUGUCACCCGCUCGAUAAGGACCGGCCGGGCGCCAGCCGGCGUCUCCAACCUUUUUUUCUCAGGUUGACCUCGGAUCAGGUAGGGAUACCCGCUGAACUUAAGC
Molecule: unclassified non-coding RNA, 314 nt
Filed under: plant metagenome
Description: partial contains 5.8S ribosomal RNA, internal transcribed spacer 2, and large subunit ribosomal RNA
Rfam family: 5.8S ribosomal RNA (bases 1-104)
Source: RNAcentral